This 375-nucleotide ribosomal RNA is filed under the name uncultured bacterium. RNAcentral describes it as "bacterial SSU rRNA". It matches the Rfam family "Bacterial small subunit ribosomal RNA", at positions 524 to 898 of the family's 1533-position model. The record is from RNAcentral.
UACGGAGGGUGCGAGCGUUGUUCGGAAUUAUUGGGCGUAAAGCGCGUGCAGGCGGCCUGCUAGUCUGAUGUGAAAGCCCUGGGCUCAACCCAGGAAGUGCAUUGGAAACUGGUAGGCUUGAGUACGGGAGAGGAAAGUGGAAUUCCGAGUGUAGGGGUGAAAUCCGUAGAUAUUCGGAGGAACACCAGUGGCGAAGGCGGCUUUCUGGACCGAUACUGACGCUGAGACGCGAAAGCGUGGGGAGCAAACAGGAUUAGAUACCCUGGUAGUCCACGCCGUAAACGAUGGGUACUAGGUGUUGCGGGUAUUGACCCCUGCAGUGCCAAAGCUAACGCAUUAAGUACCCCGCCUGGGGAGUACGGCCGCAAGGCUAAA